AUGUAUCUAAAUCGCAGUACUGACAUGAUCAUGAUCGGGGGUCGGCACCCCAUAAAAGCAUACUACUCCGUUGGUUUCAAGUCCGAUGGAAGAAUCACAGCCUUGCACCUUGACAUACUGAUCAACGCUGGGAUUUCUCCAGACAUGAGCCCCCUAAUGCCAGAGUAUAUUAUGUCAGGCCUGAAGAAAUACAACUGGGGUGCUCUCUCGUUUGACAUCAAGGUCUGUAAGACAAACAACACAUCCAAGUCAGCAAUGCGUGCUCCUGGAGACACGCAAGGCUCAUUUGUCGCUGAAGCCAUAAUCGAGCAUGUCGCUACGGCGUUGUCACUCGAUGCUAAUAGUGUCAGGCAAAGGAAUUUCCACACCUAUGACAGUCUUGUGAUGUUCUAUCCAGAAAGCGCAGGUGAAGCUUCUACGUACACAUUGCAUUCUAUCUUCGAUAAGUUGCUCACGACGUCAAGCUACCGGCAUUGA
RNAcentral lists this ribosomal RNA (477 nucleotides) under Triticum aestivum (bread wheat). RNAcentral's name for it is "partial small subunit ribosomal RNA". Lineage: Eukaryota; Viridiplantae; Streptophyta; Magnoliopsida; Poales; Poaceae. The record is from RNAcentral.